GCACUGCUGAAGAGUCGAAAAAUAGGACAAAACGGCCGUCCAAUGU
Molecule: non-coding RNA, 46 nt
Filed under: Schistosoma mattheei
Lineage: Eukaryota; Metazoa; Platyhelminthes; Trematoda; Strigeidida; Schistosomatidae
Source: RNAcentral